AGGGGAUGCAAUGAAGAGGAACAACGGUAUGAAAUUCAGUACAAAGGAUCGUGAUAAUGAUACAUACAGCAGUAACUGUGCAUCCGUUUGUGGCGCCUGGUGGUAUUGGGCGUGUGGUUAUUCAGAACUAAACGCCAACAUGAAAAAAAAUAAACUAAGAUGGCAAACUCAUAAUAAAAUCAAGGCAACCAUGAUGAUAAGGAAGCUAAUGUAAAGAAAACUUGCAUAGAACGAAACAGUCAAUUUGAUACAUGUGUAUCAUUCUUUAAAGAGUAGUAUUGUUCAUCGAUAAUUCUCAAUAAACAUAUUGUGUAUUGUCCUAUAUCUUUCUUGUUUCAAAUUGUGCAUUGAAUUGCAAAAUGGUAAGAAAAUACCGUACGAAGAAUGUAGAUAAAGAAACAUAGAAUAAGGAUAACCAUGGUGUUUACUAGGAACUUGGCAAAUGGCUAUCGUGUUUACUAUAUAGAUGCAACAUGCAUAAAACUAAACCUUGUAAUUGAUUUAAGGUGGUACCCAACACACCCACUAAAAUUAAUUUGGCUCGUUUAAUUUUCAUAAAAUUUUGUCAAAUUAUUUACUUUAACCCUUUAACAAAAAUAUAAAAAAAUCAAAAAUUUUGAACCAACCGUUUUAUCAGAAAAAUUACACUGGUUAUAUAGCAGCUUGACACACACCAAUUUUGAUCAUUGA
RNAcentral lists this long non-coding RNA (690 nucleotides) under Mytilus galloprovincialis (Mediterranean mussel). Lineage: Eukaryota; Metazoa; Mollusca; Bivalvia; Mytilida; Mytilidae. The record is from RNAcentral.